ACGGAAGGCAGCAGUGGGGAAUAUUGGGCAAUGGGCGCAAGCCUGACCCAGCAACGCCGCGUGAAGGAUGAAGGUCUUCGGAUUGUAAACUUCUUUAAUUGGGAAGAAAAAAAUGACCUACCCAAAGAAUAAGCCACGGCUAACUACGUGCCAGCAGCCGCGGUAAUACGUAGGUGGCAAGCGUUAUCCGGAUUUACUGGGUGUAAAGGGCGUGUAGGCGGCUUUGCAAGUCAGAAGUGAAAUUCCCGAGCUCAACUUGGGCGCUGCUUCUGAAACUGCAAAACUUGAGUACUGGAGGGGAAAGCGGAAUUCCUAGUGUAGCGGUAAAAUGCGCAGAUAUUAGGAGGAACACCGGUGGCGAAGGCGGCUUUCUGGACAGUAACUGACGCUGAGGCGCGAAAGCGUGGGGAGCAAACAGGAUUAGAUACCCUGGUA
This 435-nucleotide ribosomal RNA is filed under the name uncultured Saccharofermentans sp. Its description in RNAcentral is "partial 16S ribosomal RNA". It matches the Rfam family "Bacterial small subunit ribosomal RNA", at positions 341 to 792 of the family's 1533-position model. The record is from RNAcentral. Lineage: Bacteria; Bacillati; Bacillota; Clostridia; Eubacteriales; Oscillospiraceae.